UGCUUUUAGCUUUCCAACACAUUCUUCUUUUAAUCUGAUCAAUAGAUAAAUGAACUGCCCUGAGAGAUAGAUAUUUUAAAAUGGAAUCUUUUAUAAAUUAAGGUAUGGGGUUUUUUUUCAGUAGAUUCAGCUAAGCAGCUGAAUUAUUAAUUGCACCUGGAGUUUCAGGUGCUCAGCAAUUGGUCCUUACUCUCCACCAGCUUUCAAAUGAUAUAUGUGCUUUCAAUUAGAGCCUUUACAUCCUUUGCACUGGCAGGAUUCACAUUCUCCACUGUAGGAUAAGGCACAUUUCAUGCACUCACACCAUUUCCUCUCCUUGCUUGCUUAACUCACAUGCCUCAAAUCUGAGAUCUGCACAGAGACAAGAGGCAAAAAAUCUAGAAUUGCCUAGCAGUAAUCUCCUUAAACCAUAUACUGGGCUAGGUGUUUUUAUAUGAGAGGAAGGGAACCUAAGGCAAGCUUUUAUAAAGCAAACAUUGCAAUCCUUUCCCUUUCCUCCUCUGUGGUGUGCAGUAUUCCUGUAAGAGAAAUGUUUCUAGGGGAACAUUUGGAAGGGCCUUGGAAAAGGAAAAGAAUUACAGACCAUGAGAAGAUGGGAAAAAAGGAGUGACAUCAUCUAGAUUGGAGCCCUGGUACAGCAGAAGUACUUUUGCAGUCAGUUGCUCCUCAUGACUUUGUAUUCUUGGGAAUUAAGGAAGAAAAGGGGGAAGCUAACUGCUUCAUGCAUGCUUGGGAGAGGAAGAAAAAAGUCUGAAAAUACUACAGCAUCUAGGAGAAAUUAUGGACCAGUUAUCUGGUCCAACAGUUUCAAACUUCAGGUGCUAAUCAAGGAAAUGCAGAAUUCUGAUAUUUGCCAAGGCCAAGGUAUGGCUCAACCAGGUGAUGUCAUCCUACACUUCUGA
This is a long non-coding RNA of Cyanistes caeruleus (blue tit), 902 nucleotides long. NCBI's taxonomy places the organism in Eukaryota, Metazoa, Chordata, Aves, Passeriformes, Paridae. The record is from Ensembl.